Meleagris gallopavo (turkey) is the source of this 254-nucleotide non-coding RNA. The record is from RefSeq and is a predicted model, not a curated record. Lineage: Eukaryota; Metazoa; Chordata; Aves; Galliformes; Phasianidae.
GGGCAGGGAUGUGCCCCCCAGCAGGUGGCAUGGCUCGCAGAGCACCAGGAGCAGCCGCCGUGUGUGCUGCUGCCAACGCCAUCCAGAGCUGGCCACCCGGUUAUCCCAGUGUGAACCAAGGGGGAAUGCUGGGCACUGGACCUCCUUAUGGACAGGAAACUAACAGCAUGGCUGGUGUGAUCAACUGCCAGGGCCCACCUUUUCCCAUGGGUGGGAAUGUGGCUCACGGCUCUGCAGGGGUGGCAGCAAGUCCU